GUGACAUAAUUUUCCAUUGUUUUCUCGUCCGGAUCCUCCCCCAGCACAAACACAAUCAGAGCAUUGCUCCAAUAAUCCUCCAGUUCCUUUGUAUCCACAUCAUCAAUUUGCAUUACAAAGGUUCCAUCUCUCAUUGCAGGUGGAAUGUAACUCAGUGUGUUACCUUUUUGAGAGCUCCCAUUCUUCUGCAUGGAAGCCUUUUUC
This 204-nucleotide long non-coding RNA is filed under the name Nicotiana benthamiana. RNAcentral's name for it is "long non-coding RNA (NBEN_LNC027931)". The record is from RNAcentral. Lineage: Eukaryota; Viridiplantae; Streptophyta; Magnoliopsida; Solanales; Solanaceae.